CUCUGUCUCCCAGGCAUUACAGGCACCAGUUGAAACAGCCACCCCGAUUUGUGUGAUUUUUGUGCGCCAAUCUGCAGCACCAGCCGUGCUGAAAGCUCAUGGUGCAUUUUGUCCUGAGAAUCUCCUGGUCUGUGGGCAGUGAAAAUUUAUUUGGAAAUGCAUUGAGCCCUCUUCCUCUGUGUUGUUCUUGCUGGGAACUGUACUCCGGAGCUGUUCCUAUUCAGCCAUCUUGGAUCCUCCCCUCUUGAUUCUUAACAUAAUAAAACUGCAGGUAGAAUUUUUAUUCAAUUUAACGUGAGAAAAUAUCUAUAUGUAUAUAUGAACUAUAUAGUAGUUCAUGUCGUAUAUAUGUAUAUUGUUCAUAUGUAUUUUUUUAGGAUUAUUAGUGUCACUGACUACUAUUACUGCAAAAAUGCUGAGUAACAAGCCAUUCCAAAGCUCAGGGCCACAGAACAAUAAACAGGAACUGGUCUCCGCCUCUCAGGUUUGUCUGGGGUUUGGGUGACUCAGGCUGGGCUGGGCUCAGCUUGGCUGUAAGACAAGGUUUCGGCUCAAGUGUGCACCAUGAGUCUUUCAUUUCUGUGAGAAUAUUUGGCUGCGUGGAGCACAUUUCCCUCUUGGCAGUGAGGGAAGCUCAGGAGAGGGCUACCCUGAAUAUCUAGGUUUUGAGUUGGUGCUGCCAUCCUACCCUUGGAAAUUAGCCAAGUCAUGUUACAUGGUCAUGACCAAAGUUAACGUGGCUGGGAAAUUUGGUGUACUUCUGUGGGAGAAGCUGCAUAACUCCAUGCUGAGUGGUGGAGAGGCAUAUGGGAACGAAAGGCUGAGAACAAUAGUGCUAUCCGCUUUGAUCACAGACUUAAAUUACUUGAGUUGUCUUCUGUAUUUCCCACUAACUUUCUGUGAGACUGUAUUAUGUCUGUGAUUAAAAAGAAGAAAAGUAUUAAUUCUGUUCAUAUUUUAAGAUAAGUCUAUUUUGAGAUUUUGAGGUCAUCGAGAUAACAUUUGAAGUUAGUCUUUGUGUGUGGUUCUUUUGAAAAUUCAAAAUGCCACAGAGAAUUAAACAUAAAUAAUAGCAUAAGAGAGCAGGCAUGCAUCUCUGCUUGCUCUUGCUCAUUCAGCUCCUAGGAAGGGUAAGAUCAUCUUUCAGGCUGCAGGUUUAUUAUUUUUAUGACACCCUCAUCUUUCACUGCUUCCUUCAAAUUCUUAGCUUGAGAAUUUAAGGUUAUUACAUGAUGAGAUUUUUGUGAUCAAAUGGGUGGUUUUAAAUGAAGCUUAUUGUUCAAUGAAUGGGCUUAACAAAGUACACUCUGUGUCGAACUCACAGGCACUAGGAUCACAGUGUAAAGUCUUCUUUUCUUUGUAUGGCUUCAGGAUGAUUUUAAUUACUAUUUCUGGAUGAGAAGAGAAAAUUAAUUAUCUUUUUAAAAAAUAUGAUGUUUAUCUUCAAGUUUUCUCUCUUUGUUAUUAUUCCAGUGUCGGGGAAAGAGCCCGAAAUUGAAUGUAAGCUAAUUGGAUGGCCCGAGCAUGGCAGGGGAGACAGGGAUGGCACUGACAUCAACCAGGGGCCUUUCAUGGCAAAUAACUUUGCUUCAUCCAGAGGCUGUAGGUGAGACACAAAGUUCAAGACUGCAACACAAAAAACUGACAGAGCCAACCCCACAUCUAGGGUGGAACAAGGCCAGGCUGGGACGUGGUGGGAUGUGGCUCAGGUGACUGAGCACACGCAUGCUGCUUGAUCCUCAGUAAGCUGAAGGUUUGAAAUUGCACCAGGAGAGUUGCUGGUUGUCUAUAGCGCAGCUGAGUACUUCAAGUGCAAUUGAGUUAUCACUUCCUAGAAACUUUUGAAAGUUAGGUCAUUGAAUAUUUUUGUUGGGUUAUUUUCAAAAUUAGAGAUCAUAAGUCCAUAUGACACAAACUCUGAGUUUCUCUCAUUUCACUGUCCGUUUCAUGGGAGGACCCAGACAAUUCUUUCCUUGAGCAUUUAGUUGGUGUGAGAAAGAAAAGCCCUUGGUGUUUUAAAAAACCACCUAGCAAAGCCUCGGGUUUACUGCUCUGAGGUCCACAAGCCACUGCACUUUAGUCACCACGGCUGGCUAAGUUCAGGAUAGCUGAUAUGACAGUAUCGGCACUGCAUCCUACAGUGAGCUUGCACUCCCGAGUUUUCCAUGCCCCGGACCACAUUUCAUCCCUAGGUGUUCUCCUUGAGUCAUCCUGUGUUCAUCAGUGAAAUAUCACAGGGUCUGAAAUUUGAACGAAUUAUAAUGUGAUUCCUAAUGAGGCCUGUUCUCUCAUCUGCAUGCAAACUAUUUUAUUUUAAAAUAAUUUAUGUUUUUAAAGAUGGUUCCCAAGCAUUAAAUAAGGUAAUUUAUGUAGCACUUCCUAGGAUUGGCUCAGUGUCUUCCUGUCAAUUUCACAUCUGAAGUGAGAGAGAAAGGUUGAGUGAUGAGCUGAGAGACUGUGGCCGAGUGACAAGGCAGGGUGGUGGUGAUGAGGUGAGGGAGUGUGGCCGAGUGACAGUGCAGGCUGGUGGCGAUGAGGUGAGGGACUGUGGCCGAGUGACAAGGCAGGGCGGUGGUGACGAGGUGAGGGAGUGUGGCCGAGUGACAGUGCAGGGCGGUGGUGAUGAGGUGAGGGAGUGUGGCCGAGUGACAGUGCAGGCUGGUGGUGACGAGGUGAGGGAAUGUGGCCAAGUGACAGUGCAGGGCGGUGGUGAUGAGGUGAGGGAGUGUGGCCGAGUGACAGUGCAGGGUGGUUGUGAUGAGGUCAGGGAGUGUGGCCGAGUGACAGUGCAGGGCGGUGGUGAUGAGGUGAGGGAGUGUGGCCGAGUGACAGUGUAGGCUGGUGGCGGUGAGGUGAGGGAGUGUAUCCGGGUGACACUGCAGGCUGGCGGUGGUGAGGUGAGGGAGUGUGGCCAGGUGACAGUACAGGCUGGUGGUGAUGAGGUGAGGGAGUGUGGCCGCGUGACAGUGCAGGCUGGUGGUGAUGAUGAGGUGAGGGAGUGUGGCCAGGUGACAGUACAGGCUGGUGGUGAUGAGGUGAGGGACUAUGGCCGAGUGACAGUGCAGGGUGGUGGUGAUGAGGUGAGGGAGUGUGGCCGGGUGACAGUGCAGGCUGGCGGUGGUGAUGAGGUGAUGGUGUGUGAUCGAGUGACAGUGCAGGGCGGUGGUGAGGUGAGGGAGUGUGGCCGGGUGACAGUGCAGGCUGGUGGUGGUGAGGUGAGGGAGUGUGGCCGGGUGAUAGUGCAGGCUGACGUUGGUGAUGAGGUGAGGGAUUGUGGCCGAGUGACAGUGCAGGGCGGUGGUGAUGAGGUGAGGGAGUGUGACCGAGUGACUGUGUAGGGUGCUGGUGAUGAGGUGAGGGAGUGUGGCCGGGUGACAAUGCAUGGCGGUGGUGGUGAUGUGAGGGAGUGUGGCCGAGUGACAGUGCAGGCUGGUGGUGAUGAGGUGAGGGAGUUUGGCCGAGUGACAGUGCAGGGCGGUGGUGAUGAGUUGAGGGAGUGUGGCCGGGUGACAGUGCAGGCUGGUGGUAGUGAGGUGAGGGAGUGUGGCCGGGUGACAGUGCAGGCUGGCGGUGGUGAUGAGGUGAUGGAGUGUGAUCGAGUGACAGUGCAGGGCGGUGGUCAUGAGGUGAGGGAGUUUGGCCGAGUGACAGUGCAGGCUGGUGGUGAUGAGGUGAGGGAGUGUGGCCGGGUGACAGUGCAGGCUGACGGUGAUGAGUUGAGGGUGUGGCCGGGUGACAGUGUAGGGCGGUAGUGGUGCCCUGGCUGACUCCUCACCACAGGCUUCUCAGCCCACUGAGCAUCCUGGCUGUAGCAGGCAGAGCGCAGUCCCAUGAAGACCAA
Sapajus apella (tufted capuchin) is the source of this 3841-nucleotide long non-coding RNA. RefSeq lists it as uncharacterized. NCBI's taxonomy places the organism in Eukaryota, Metazoa, Chordata, Mammalia, Primates, Cebidae. The transcript has 2 exons. The record is from RefSeq and is a predicted model, not a curated record.